CUGAACAGCGACGAGACGUCUCACGCUCUUCAGAACUUGGACCCGGACACGGUGUACUCGGUCACCGUCACGGCCAUCUACCCCGACGAGUCCGAGAGCGAAGACCUGAUGGGCAACGAGAGAACACUGUUAGACGCUCCGAAGGUGCCGGCUGAACCUCCCAAAAACUUGAGGGUUUUUAACGCCACCACGUCUUCUCUGACGCUGAAAUGGGACCCGGCUCCCGGCGCCGUGCAGAAUUACAAAAUCAUCUACAAGCCCGGUACUGGAGGAGAGCCG
Molecule: long non-coding RNA, 279 nt
Organism: Notothenia coriiceps (black rockcod)
Lineage: Eukaryota; Metazoa; Chordata; Actinopteri; Perciformes; Nototheniidae
Exons: 3
Source: RefSeq, a predicted model, not a curated record